CUCCAGACUCCUACGGGAGGCAGCAGUGGGGAAUAUUGCACAAUGGGGGGAACCCUGAUGCAGCGACGCCGCGUGGGUGAAGGAGUAUUUCGGUAUGUAAAGCCCUCUCAGCAGGGAAGAACAAUGACGGUACCUGACUAAGAAGCACCGGCUAAAUACGUGCCAGCAGCCGCGGUAAUACGUAUGGUGCAAGCGUUAUCCGGAUUUACUGGGUGUAAAGGGAGCGCAGGCGGCGCGUUAAGCCUGGUGUGAAAGCCCGCGGCCCAACCGCGGGACUGCAUUGGGAACUGGCGCGCUGGAGUGCCGGAGGGGUAGGCGGAAUUCCUAGUGUAGCGGUGAAAUGCGUAGAUAUCAGGAGGAACACCGGCGGCGAAGGCGGCUUACUGGACGGCAACUGACGUUGAGGCCCGAAAGCGUGGGGAGCGAACAGGAUUAGAUACCCUUGUAGC
This 449-nucleotide ribosomal RNA is filed under the name uncultured bacterium. Its description in RNAcentral is "bacterial SSU rRNA". It matches the Rfam family "Bacterial small subunit ribosomal RNA", at positions 329 to 794 of the family's 1533-position model. The record is from RNAcentral.